RNAcentral lists this ribosomal RNA (332 nucleotides) under uncultured microorganism. Its description in RNAcentral is "bacterial SSU rRNA". It matches the Rfam family "Bacterial small subunit ribosomal RNA", at positions 346 to 690 of the family's 1533-position model. The record is from RNAcentral.
ACGCACCAGGCGCGAAUCUUCCCCAAUGGACGAAAGUCUGAGGGGAGCGACGCCGCGUGAAUGAAGAAGCCCUUCGGGGUGUAAAAUUCUUCCCUUUAGGAAAAAUUCGUGAUGGUACUAAAGGAAUAAGGGGCCGCCAAACUCGUGCCAGCAGCGGCGGGUAAUACGAGUGCCCCGAGCGUUAUCCGGAAUUACUGGGCGUAAAGCGCUAAAAGGCGGUUUGAUAAGUCAGACGUCAAAUCUCCGAGCUCAACUCGGAGCCGGUGUCUGGAAACUGUCUAACUUGAGGACGGAAGAGGCAAGCGGAAUGGCUGGUGUAGCAGUAAAAUGCG